GUGUCAGCAGCCGCGGUAAUACAGAGGGUGCAAGCGUUAAUCGGAAUGACUGGGCGUAAAGGGCGUGUAGGUGGAUAAAGAAGUCAAAGGUGAAAUCCCCGGGCUUAACCUGGGAACUGCCUGUGAAACUGAUUAUCUAGAGUAUAGGAGAGGGAAGUGGAAUUUCCGGUGUAGCGGUGAAAUGCGUAGAUAUCGGAAGGAACACCAGUGGCGAAGGCGACUUCCUGGCCAAAUACUGACACUGAGGCGCGAAAGCGUGGGUAGCGAACAGGAUUAGAUACCCUGGUAGUCC
This 292-nucleotide ribosomal RNA is filed under the name uncultured bacterium. RNAcentral's name for it is "partial 16S ribosomal RNA". It matches the Rfam family "Bacterial small subunit ribosomal RNA", at positions 505 to 796 of the family's 1533-position model. The record is from RNAcentral.